GUUUCAGGUGGAAAAAAAUUAUUCUUCAAUAUUCGUAAGAAUGAGAUUGGAUAAAGGACACAAAUGAAGUCCAGACCAAGUACAAAAACAUGAGCUCCUUCUCCUGGCUGCUCAACUAAUGCAGACUUAGCCUGAGGAUGAGAUAACUAUCUCAACAGCCAUUCCAUUGCUCAGACUUCAAAUUAUAGUAAUUAUGACAAUUUGUGCCAAUAGCCACGAGGUGGGAUUUUUGAUGUGGUUAAAAAUAACAUCUGUAAAACCCAAUAAAAAUUACAUUUUGCUAAUUUUCUGAUAAGAUACUGUUUUAACUAUACUGUGUCUUCUGCCGCUGCCAGUUUUCAAUUAGAGCAUUCCUUA
This 357-nucleotide long non-coding RNA is filed under the name Homo sapiens (human). Its description in RNAcentral is "HSALNT0065191". Lineage: Eukaryota; Metazoa; Chordata; Mammalia; Primates; Hominidae. The record is from RNAcentral.